GGCCGAAUGGCCUACUCCUGCACCUAUUUUCUAUGUUUCUAUGUUUUGUGUAUUGUUCAAGAGCCUAUGUACUUUCCCGACUCUAGCGUUCAAUCUAUUAACUUUCUCGUGUAAAAUGCUCAGACUGAAACUUUAGAACAACCAACAGAGGCACUGAACCCCAAAAUACUCACCUGCAUCCAAAUCAUAGUUUGUGUAAGAAAGAACUACAGAUGCUGGUUAAAAUUGA
This is a long non-coding RNA of Amblyraja radiata (thorny skate), 229 nucleotides long. RefSeq lists it as uncharacterized. The transcript has 3 exons. The record is from RefSeq and is a predicted model, not a curated record. NCBI's taxonomy places the organism in Eukaryota, Metazoa, Chordata, Chondrichthyes, Rajiformes, Rajidae.